GAUGUUUAAACAGAAUGCCAUUUUCAAGAAUAACCUUGAGCUCAGCUUUGAAAAGAGAAAAUCUUUCCUGUUUUCUGUGACAAAUGUGAAGAGUUAAUGCUUGGGAAGUGCUGAGAUAAAUGCUUAUUGAUGACUCAGUUAACAUCUUGGAGUGAGCAGAGUAUAAACAGCCAAAAUACGUCCUCUUUUUUUAUAGCUCAACAAGCAAGGGAAUGCAGUCAUAAAAAAGGAAAUGUAAUGAAGUGAAAUCAAAACAAACAAAAGACAAACUCUCAUUUGGUGCUGAUGACUCAUUUUCAACCUCUUUUUCAAACUGUCAUUUUAAUUUCUAGGUUGGACUCCUCACCUGCGACCACUUGUGUGACAUUUAUAAACGAAAAUGUGGGAUUUAAUUAGAAUUGUUGGAAAUAUCUGAAGUCUGCUUGUACAAUCUCCUCUGGAAACUCUGUCUGCUUCCUUCAGGUACAUCUUCUACAAAAGGCUUGGAAAGUAUUCACCUUGAGGAGGAUAGAACGUAUCUGCAAAGCAAGAACGGCAAGUCUCUUCUGCAGAGGGAACUUUAUUUUUUUCUUUUUGAAGGCAAAGGGAAAGAAGGAAAGACUUCAUUCUGCAUGAGAAUUGUUGUGAUACCCCGUCUUUGGCAUCUGUUUCUAGAACCAACCACUGCUUGUUCCUAUGAUAAUGACAAUUUUGUAUUGAUCCCUUUCCAAAAAAUAUCAGCAGAAAGAGAGGGAAUUAAAUGGAGGGUCUAAAGUCAGAAAGUUGAAGUCUUCACCAAUUAAACUCAUCAGAAGAGAGCUCUUGCACUCUCCUUAGAGGAACUAGAACUUCAUUCCACACAUUCCACAAUUACAAAGCCCUAAAAUACUACCUGUGCAACAAUGAAUUUCAUCACAUCAAGUGAAUUCUUUUAAACAGACCAGAUAUCCCAUGAAUAGGAAAAGAGAAUUUAUAACUCUGAAAUAUUACAGCUAUUAAAAAUAAAAAGACAU
This 992-nucleotide long non-coding RNA is filed under the name Cyanistes caeruleus (blue tit). RNAcentral describes it as "lncRNA (ENSCCEG00000017381.1)". The record is from RNAcentral. Lineage: Eukaryota; Metazoa; Chordata; Aves; Passeriformes; Paridae.